UGAGCCAACAUGCUUGCGCAAGAGUUUUUGUUGUGUGAAGUCGGUUUGAGGUGACGAUGUAACAGGCUGCAGGGACAUGACUGUUGAGGAACCCAUCAAGGACCAGUAAUGUCACAAACAAACACAUUGCCUAAUCACACUGCUCAUUGAGCUUCGAAUCGAUGUACUAUGGCCCCAGAAGAGAUGAAAACACGGGCAUCAAUCUCAAUAACAUCAGAAGCAAUACUAACAGCAGAACAAUUGCCAGCAGCAAAAACAUCUCAUGGACUAGAAGAAGCAGCAUGUAAAAAGAUCAUAAAGAAAUCAACACUACCAAGAGCACCAAAAGCAGCACAGAAGAGAGGUGGAAGGAAUAAAAGAAAGCAGGGGCCUAUGUAUUUGAUGGGAGAGUAUUUUUACAUCCACAGAUAUCUGACCUCACUUAUGGAAGAACACUCAAUGGAAAAAAAUAUCCAAGUCAUCAUGGAGCAUUGCAAUUUGUCAUGAAAGCAAAGUAAAAUGGCAAAAUAAAUGUUAAGAAGGUACCAAAGCACGUAAUCGAGUGAGUGCAGCAAAAACAGAUUAACUUCCAAUGCUACAGCUGGGUGCAUGCAAGAAGGUGGCAGUGUGAUGUAUUCUGCACAGUGGGAGAAAGAGAAUAAUAUGUAAAUUGAAGGUGGAGAGGGAGAAAUAGUAGGAAAGGGAAGGCAUUACUUAUGUCAGCUGCAGCAUAACUUUAUACGGAAUCAGCGGUGAUGAGUGAAAAUGUAUUCUAGGCAAUUGCAUUAACCAUUGCACCAUCUGGACACAGUGUUUAUUGUGGACUAUCUUAGCACAUCUCCAGGCCAAACCACAUUUCACCUGUUGCAGUCCCGAUUGUGUCCUCCUUGAGACUCCUACAGGAGUUUGAACAAAAUUGUGCAUCCACACCGAAUGUGGUGGUUUUAUCGCCCAUUGAGGUGAAUCAGUUAUAUGAAUGUGUGUUGUCUGUUCUUUCAGGCAUGUCCAAAAGAACAGGCACCAUAUGGAAUCCACAGCUGUUAUACAUAUUAUGUAAACUGAAGGUGGAGGGAGAGAAAGGAAAUGAAAGGGAAGGAACUAUUGAUGUCAGCUGCAUUGGUACUUUAUACAAAAUCGUUGGUGAUGAGUGAAAAUGUGUGCUCUUCCAGGACUCAAACACAAGAUCUCCUGCUUACUAGGCAGUUGCAUUCACCACUAUGUCAUCCAGACAUAGUGUUAUCAAAAUUAUGUGGACUAUCUCAGGAUGCCUCCCAGGUGACCCACAUUCUCAAGUAGGCCACCUAUCUGCCAUCCCCAUCCAUGUCCUCCAUGCUCACUACUUUGAAAGUCCCACAGGAGGUCGAACACAAUUGUGCAUCCACACUAAAUGUGGAGGAUUCAUCAUAAAUCGAGGCAAAUCAGUUAUAUGAAUGCACGGUGUCUGUUCUUUCAGACACAUUUGAAAGAACAGACUCCACAGCUGUGCCAUAUAUUAUGUAAACUAAAGGUGGAGGGGGGAAGAAAGGACAGCAAAGCUACUAUUGACAUCAGCUGCAUUGGGACUACAUGUGGUGCCUGUACUUUUAUAUAUCUCCGAAAGAACAGACACCGCGAAUUCGUAUAUAGACUGUCCCACAAUUCUUACUACAGCCACCACCUACCCUAAUAGCUGGCAACACAGGGAUGAGCACUACACCUGGCGACUGUUUCUGCUUCUGACUUGGCAGUAUUUAUAUGCUCGGGAACUAUUACUGUUGCUUCUUAAUGUAAUACUUCCUGUGUUUGCAUUACUUCAUCCUUAAUUAGCACUAUCGUGGGAAAGUAACCACAAUAUAUAUAUAAACUAACAUGAAAAUAAACAAUUAAUGUUCUGAGCACACCCUGAUGUGUCUGCUAUAGAUGUAUGCAGCAAAAUGGUAUUGGCUCGAGCAUCACAUGGUACACUGCUGCUUGCCACUGAGCAUCGCCCACCAACCACCAUCUUACGUGCACACCGCUGUCAGCAGACGAUGACACCAGCAAAACUUUCUUCCUGACAAUUCCUAAUGGUGAUGUGAUAUGAAGGCCAGUGAUGGCUUGUGUGAAUGCCACUAUUUGAAAUGCAUUGUGGAAUUUUGAUGUCAAGUGAUGUGACAGCAUGUGUGUAUUGGCCUUAAUAGGAUAUCGUGAUUGACCCAAGCAAAUGACUUCAAUAAAUGGCAGAAGAUCCCA
This is a long non-coding RNA of Schistocerca nitens (vagrant locust), 2190 nucleotides long. RefSeq lists it as uncharacterized. Lineage: Eukaryota; Metazoa; Arthropoda; Insecta; Orthoptera; Acrididae. The record is from RefSeq and is a predicted model, not a curated record. The transcript is spliced from 3 exons.